AGAUUGAACGCUGGCGGCAUGGCUAAAACAUGCAAGUCGAGCGCGAAAGGGAGCAAUCCCAAGUAGAGCGGCGAAAGGGUGAGUAAUACGUUCCUACGUACCUGAAGGUCGGGGAUAGCCAGGGGAAACUCUGGGUAAUACCCGAUGUGAUCGAGAGAUCAAAGGCUUGCCGCCUUCAGAGCGGGGAACGUCCUAUCAGGUAGUUGGUGAGGUAAAGGCUCACCAAGCCUUUGACGGGUAGCGGGUGUGAGAGCAUGGCCCGCCACAUCGAAACUGAGACACUGUUCGGACUCCUACGGGAGCUGCAGUAACGAAUCUUCCGCAAUGCGCGAAAGCGUGACGGAGCAAUGCCG
This 353-nucleotide ribosomal RNA is filed under the name uncultured soil bacterium. Its description in RNAcentral is "bacterial SSU rRNA". It matches the Rfam family "Bacterial small subunit ribosomal RNA", at positions 26 to 399 of the family's 1533-position model. The record is from RNAcentral.